RNAcentral lists this ribosomal RNA (508 nucleotides) under uncultured bacterium. RNAcentral describes it as "partial 16S ribosomal RNA". It matches the Rfam family "Bacterial small subunit ribosomal RNA", at positions 28 to 507 of the family's 1533-position model. The record is from RNAcentral.
GACGAACGCUGGCGGCGUGCCUAAUACAUGCAAGUCGAGCGCAGGAAGUCAUCCGAACCCUUCGGGGGGACGUUGACGGAAUGAGCGGCGGACGGGUGAGUAACACGUAAAGAACCUGCCCUCAGGUCUGGGAUAACCACGAGAAAUCGGGGCUAAUACCGGAUGGGUCAUCGGACCGCAUGGUCCGAGGAUGAAAGGCGCUCCGGCGUCGCCUGGGGAUGGCUUUGCGGUGCAUUAGCUAGUUGGUGGGGUAAUGGCCCACCAAGGCGACGAUGCAUAGCCGACCUGAGAGGGUGAUCGGCCACACUGGGACUGAGACACGGCCCAGACUCCUACGGGAGGCAGCAGUAGGGAAUCUUCCAUAAUGGACGAAAGUCUGAUGGAGCAACGCCGCGUGAACGAUGAAGGCCCUCGGGUCGUAAAGUUCUGUUGUAAGGGAAGAACAAGUGCCGCAGGCAAUGGCGGCACCUUGACGGUACCUUGCGAGAAAGCCACGGCUAACUACGUG